Molecule: long non-coding RNA, 723 nt
Filed under: Gallus gallus (chicken)
Lineage: Eukaryota; Metazoa; Chordata; Aves; Galliformes; Phasianidae
Description: lncRNA (ENSGALG00010002842.1)
Source: RNAcentral
CGGGUGGGCUGCGGGGACGAGAAAGGGCUGAUCUUCUAGACGGGGCUCACAGAAAGUGAGGGGAGAGAGUUUUCGGAGUGCCGGGGCGGUGGCCGGACCGUGAGCCUUUCCUCGUGGAAUCCUUCUCCCGCCGAGGUUACCACAAACAGCAGGGAUCGAAAGCGACUAAGGCAGCGUGUGCUGCGAGGAUAUUGAUCUGAAAGCAUGUCCAGAAGCUUUGGAUAACUCCUAACCUUGUCCAAACCAAGGAAAUAAACAGUUGAAACUGCAAGAGGAGGAGGAGGAGAAAGAAGGUAUAUAUCAGGAUUUGGAAGUGUCUUUUGCAAGGAUAGAAGAGGAAUAGUGACUUACGGCUAUAAAAGAUGCCCUUGUUCACCUUCCCAGAAAUUUCUGCCCCAGCAUAGUUUGUGUAGUUGAAAUGUCCUAAGGGUUACCCAGAUUACUUAUAAUAAAUCUUUCACUUCUCAAUUUUAUUUUGAAUGUAUUGCAUUUGUGACAAAGGAUUUUUAUUUUUAUUUUUGGCUUGCAAACACUUAGUCAUCAAUACUAUAUUACAGUGCUUUCAUCAUUUAUGUCAGUCUUUGUGUUCAGAGAAUUACAUUUGGGAAAUUUGGUUGUUCAGAUCUUUAUGUAUGCUUUGUAACCAGAAGGCAGAAAAAUAAUAUUAUAGUGAAAGAAGUUCACUUUGUCUUUUGUUCUGUUUGAAAGCUACUGUGAAAAGAG